GAUGAACGCUGGCGGCGUGCCUAAUACAUGCAAGUCGAGCGAACGGACGAGAAGCUUGCUUCUCUGAUGUUAGCGGCGGACGGGUGAGUAACACGUGGAUAACCUACCUAUAAGACUGGGAUAACUUCGGGAAACCGGAGCUAAUACCGGAUAAUAUUUUGAACCGCAUGGUUCAAAAGUGAAAGACGGUCUUGCUGUCACUUAUAGAUGGAUCCGCGCUGCAUUAGCUAGUUGGUAAGGUAACGGCUUACCAAGGCAACGAUGCAUAGCCGACCUGAGAGGGUGGUCGGCCACACUGGAACUGAGACACGGUCCAGACUCCUACGGGAGGCAGCAGUAGGGAAUCGUCCGCAAUGGGCGAAAGCCUGACGGAGCAACGCCGCGUGAGUGAUGAAGGUCUUCGGAUCGUAAAACUCUGUUAUUAGGGAAGAACAUAUGUGUAAGUAACUGUGCACAUCUUGACGGUACCUAAUCAGAAAGCCACGGCUAACUACGUG
RNAcentral lists this ribosomal RNA (497 nucleotides) under uncultured bacterium. RNAcentral's name for it is "partial 16S ribosomal RNA". It matches the Rfam family "Bacterial small subunit ribosomal RNA", at positions 28 to 507 of the family's 1533-position model. The record is from RNAcentral.